Nylanderia fulva is the source of this 1199-nucleotide long non-coding RNA. RefSeq lists it as uncharacterized. Lineage: Eukaryota; Metazoa; Arthropoda; Insecta; Hymenoptera; Formicidae. The record is from RefSeq and is a predicted model, not a curated record.
AUCUACGGUACAAAACACGUUUCUACGUUUAUUGUAUUAGUUAAAUAACGUCUCCACAGAGUUGCUUUAUAUGAGUUAUUAUUCUAUCUAGGAAAUGAAAUGUCCCGAAGAAAACCGCAAUUGGCGGAGCUCUGGCGUGUAACGAUGGUCCUUGCUCAUCCGUUUUGGCUGCCAGAAUUCGAGGGGGUCUCGACGACAAACGCACCGGCUUAAGUUACCGGCUCCCGAGCCGUUAAUUCGUCUCGAUCGAGUGCCUAGAUAAAUCGACACGUCCUCUUUCUGGGACGCGCUCGAGCGUGGCAUCGGCCAGGAAGAUUGGCCUCUUCCUCGCAUCCCUGCGACAGAGUCCACGGCCUCUUCGCACCUAACAGCAACAGCCUGUCCGGCGAAUGCGAGCCGUUCAGAUGGCGGAUAAGCCAUCCGAUAUCCGGCUAAUGUUGAAGAUAAAUAACAAUUAUUUUAUAAUUAAGCGACCGAGCGUGGGCAGUAAAUACACGUCGCCGGAACAGGAACACUCCUCGAUGCAAGCAACGGCUAUCCGCAAUCCGACACCGCCUCUGUUGCCUCUCAUUCAUAAGACGCGGACCGGCAUCGAUCAACCUCGCCUUGACCGACUCAGAAAUGAGAUGCACAUUGGUGGAAUCGACUCGAAUGAAAUGUUACCGGUAUCUGCGUUUAUUAGUAAUUAAUCUAAUCGUUUGAAUAUCUAAAUUACACGUUGAUGAAAAAUGAAAUAAUGUUUUUGGUAUAUGACUUUCAAAUUUUUGUCAUUAAUUAAUGAAUCAAUCUCUAACAGAAUUUUCUUAUAAUAAAUAAUCAAUUUCUCUUACAUUUUUAAAAUUAUUUAAUUUUUAUUAAUUAAUUUAAAAAAUUGUCAGGAAGGAAGAGAUCAUACGUAUGUUUAUAUGAUAUUACUAUAAUUAUGUGUAAUGCAUCUUUUAUGUGUUCUUGGAAUCUUAAUUUUUUUAAUCUAAUUAAAAGCAUAUCUUAGCGACUACAAUUAAAAAGCUAUAAUGUGCAUUGAAAUCUUUGAUACUUCAAAGUACUUGAAAAAUGUAACAGAAGAGUCUAGAAUUAUUUCGCGUACUUUAUAAACAAAUAUUCGGUCUACAAGAUUUAUAAAUAGAUUCGACUAACAAUGUAAGUUGUAAGAAUCGAUUUGAUGUAACAGAAAAUAUAAAUUUCGAAUUUUCUGUGUU